CAGUCGAACGGCAGCACGGGAGCAAUCCUGGUGGCGAGUGGCGAACGGGUGAGUAAUAUAUCGGAACGUGCCCAGUCGUGGGGGAUAACGCAGCGAAAGCUGUGCUAAUACCGCAUACGAUCUACGGAUGAAAGCGGGGGAUCGCAAGACCUCGCGCGAUUGGAACGGCCGAUAUCAGAUUAGCUAGUUGGUGGGGUAAAAGCCCACCAAGGCGACGAUCUGUAGCUGGUCUGAGAGGACGACCAGCCACACUGGAACUGAGACACGGUCCAGACUCCUACGGGAGGCAGCAGUGGGGAAUUUUGGACAAUGGGCGCAAGCCUGAUCCAGCAAUGCCGCAUGCAGGAUGAAGGCCUUCGGGUUGUAAACUGUUUUUGUACGGAACGAAACGGUUCGCUUUAAUACAGUGGGCUAAUGACGGUACCGUAAGAAUAAGCACCGGCUAACUACGUGCCAGCAGCCGCGGUAAUACGUAGGGUGCGAGCGUUAAUCGGAAUUACUGGGCGUAAAGCGUGCGCAGGCGGUGAUGUAAGACAGAUGUGAAAUCCCCGGGCUCAACCUGGGACCUGCAUUUGUGACUGCAUCGCUAGAGUACGGUAGAGGGGGAUGGAAUUCCGCGUGUAGCAGUGAAAUGCGUAGAUAUGCGGAGGAACACCGAUGGCGAAGGCAAUCCCCUGGACCUGUACUGACGCUCAUGCACGAAAGCGUGGGGAGCAAACAGGAUUAGAUACCCUGUAGUCCACGCCCUAAACGAUGUCAACUGGUUGUUGGGUCUUCACUGACUCAGUAACGAAGCUAACGCGUGAAGUUGACCGCCUGGGGAGUACGGCCGCAAGGUUGAACUCAAGGAAUUGACGG
RNAcentral lists this ribosomal RNA (858 nucleotides) under uncultured bacterium. RNAcentral describes it as "bacterial SSU rRNA". It matches the Rfam family "Bacterial small subunit ribosomal RNA", at positions 59 to 916 of the family's 1533-position model. The record is from RNAcentral.